This 71-nucleotide transfer RNA is filed under the name Anguilla anguilla (European eel). Its description in RNAcentral is "tRNA-OTHER". The record is from RNAcentral. Lineage: Eukaryota; Metazoa; Chordata; Actinopteri; Anguilliformes; Anguillidae.
GGGCGGUUAGCUCAGUUGGUUUGAGCGUGGUGCUAAUACGCCAGGUCGCGAGUUCGACCCCCGCGGGCCCA